UCCCGGCGUCGGGAUCCAGUACGCAGGCCCGCCGAGCGGCCAAUGAAGGCGGGAGGCUCGCGGUGUAGAGCCCGUCAGCCCCGGAGCCGCGUCCCGCACCCGGACAUCCCGGAAUAUCAUCAGCCACUCCACACUUCGAUCUCAAUGGCCAAGUUCUGUCAGAAAUUGCUCACAAGCUUUGGACCAAGGAACCAAGACCAUCCGUGGAGACAUGAUCAUCUUUCCCAUUACAACUUUCUGCUUCAUAACCUUCUCCCCUUCCCAGUAAUCACCUCAGAGACCCACAUGUAUUUACUAAGUGCUACCAACUUGCCAGGCACUAUGCUAAAGAAGUAAAUGUUUUAUGCUCUUGA
Long non-coding RNA from Loxodonta africana (African savanna elephant), 353 nucleotides. RefSeq lists it as uncharacterized. Lineage: Eukaryota; Metazoa; Chordata; Mammalia; Proboscidea; Elephantidae. The transcript has 2 exons. The record is from RefSeq and is a predicted model, not a curated record.